AAGGCUGGAUAAAUACUGCAGUGACAUUGGCGAUAAUUUAGGAAAUGGUUUGAAUUCUGCCAGUUCUGCUGCACCAGUCAAUGUCCCCAGCGUUCCAAAGUCCCACUUUGCUUCCACACCUCCCGUCUGCAGCCAA
Melanotaenia boesemani (Boeseman's rainbowfish) is the source of this 136-nucleotide long non-coding RNA. RefSeq lists it as uncharacterized. The transcript is spliced from 3 exons. The record is from RefSeq and is a predicted model, not a curated record. Lineage: Eukaryota; Metazoa; Chordata; Actinopteri; Atheriniformes; Melanotaeniidae.